Molecule: ribosomal RNA, 253 nt
Filed under: uncultured bacterium
Lineage: Bacteria
Description: partial 16S ribosomal RNA
Rfam family: Bacterial small subunit ribosomal RNA
Source: RNAcentral
UACAUAGGGGGCGAGCGUUAUCCGGAAUUAUUGGGUGUAAAGGGUGCGUAGACGGGAUUUUAAGUUAGUUGUGAAAGCCCCAGGCUUAACUUGGGAACUGCAACUAAAACUGAAAUUCUUGAGUACUGGAGAGGAAAGUGGAAUUCCUAGUGUAGCGGUGAAAUGCGUAGAUAUUAGGAGGAACACCAGUGGCGAAGGCGACUUUCUGGACAGAAACUGACGUUGAGGCACGAAAGUGUGGGGAGCAAACAGG